GGGUUGUGAGGUUAAGCGACUAAGCGUACACGGUGGAUGCCCUGGCAGUCAGAGGCGAUGAAGGACGUGCUAAUCUGCGAAAAGCGUCGGUAAGGUGAUAUGAACCGUUACAGCCGGCGAUGUCCGAAUGGGGAAACCCAGUGCAAUUCGUUGCACUAUCGUUAACUGAAUACAUAGGUUAACGAGGCGAACCGGGGGAACUGAAACAUCUAAGUACCCCGAGGAAAAGAAAUCAACCGAGAUUCCCCCAGUAGCGGCGAGCGAACGGGGAGCAGCCCAGAGUCUGAAUCAGCUUGUGUGUUAGUGGAACGGUCUGGAAAGUCCGACGGUACAGGGUGAUAGUCCCGUACACCAAAAUGCACAGGCUGUGAACUCGAAGAGUAGGGCGGGACACGUGGUAUCCUGUCUGAAUAUGGGGGGACCAUCCUCCAAGGCUAAAUACUCCUGACUGACCGAUAGUGAACCAGUACCGUGAGGGAAAGGCGAAAAGAACCCCGGCGAGGGGAGUGAAAAAGAACCUGAAACCGUGUACGUACAAGCAGUGGGAGCACCCUUUAGGGUGUGACUGCGUACCUUUUGUAUAAUGGGUCAGCGACUUAUAUUCUGUAGCAAGGUUAACCGAAUAGGGGAGCCGCAGGGAAACCGAGUCUUAACUGGGCGUUAAGUUGCAGGGUAUAGACCCGAAACCCGGUGAUCUAGCCAUGGGCAGGUUGAAGGUUGGGUAACACUAACUGGAGGACCGAACCGACUAAUGUUGAAAAAUUAGCGGAUGACUUGUGGCUGGGGGUGAAAGGCCAAUCAAACCGGGAGAUAGCUGGUUCUCCCCGAAAGCUAUUUAGGUAGCGCCUCGUGAAUUCAUCUUCGGGGGUAGAGCACUGUUUCGGCUAGGGGGUCAUCCCGACUUACCAACCCGAUGCAAACUACGAAUACCGAAGAAUGUUAUCACGGGAGACACACGGCGGGUGCUAACGUCCGUCGUGAAGAGGGAAACAACCCAGACCGCCAGCUAAGGUCCCAAAGUCACAGUUAAGUGGGAAACGAUGUGGGAAGGCACAGACAGCCAGGAUGUUGGCUUAGAAGCAGCCAUCAUUUAAAGAAAGCGUAAUAGCUCACUGGUCGAGUCGGCCUGCGCGGAAGAUGUAACGGGGCUAAACUGUGCACCGAAGCUGCGGCAGCGACACUAUGUGUUGUUGGGUAGGGGAGCGUUCUGUAAGCCUGCGAAGGUGGCCUGUGAGGGUUGCUGGAGGUAUCAGAAGUGCGAAUGCUGACAUAAGUAACGAUAAUGCGGGUGAAAAGCCCGCACGCCGGAAGACCAAGGGUUCCUGUCCAACGUUAAUCGGGGCAGGGUGAGUCGACCCCUAAGGCGAGGCCGAAAGGCGUAGUCGAUGGGAAACAGGUUAAUAUUCCUGUACUUGGUGUUACUGCGAAGGGGGGACGGAGAAGGCUAUGUUAGCCGGGCGACGGUUGUCCCGGUUUAAGCAUGUAGGCGGAGGUUCCAGGUAAAUCCGGUACCUUUUAACGCUGAGGUGUGAUGACGAGGCACUACGGUGCUGAAGUAACAAAUGCCCUGCUUCCAGGAAAAGCCUCUAAGCAUCAGGUAACAUUAAAUCGUACCCCAAACCGACACAGGUGGUCAGGUAGAGAAUACCAAGGCGCUUGAGAGAACUCGGGUGAAGGAACUAGGCAAAAUGGUGCCGUAACUUCGGGAGAAGGCACGCUGAUAUGUAGGUGAAGCCCCUGCGGGUGGAGCUGAAAUCAGUCGAAGAUACCAGCUGGCUGCAACUGUUUAUUAAAAACACAGCACUGUGCAAACACGAAAGUGGACGUAUACGGUGUGACGCCUGCCCGGUGCCGGAAGGUUAAUUGAUGGGGUUAUCCGUAAGGAGAAGCUCUUGAUCGAAGCCCCGGUAAACGGCGGCCGUAACUAUAACGGUCCUAAGGUAGCGAAAUUCCUUGUCGGGUAAGUUCCGACCUGCACGAAUGGCGUAAUGAUGGCCAGGCUGUCUCCACCCGAGACUCAGUGAAAUUGAACUCGCUGUGAAGAUGCAGUGUACCCGCGGCAAGACGGAAAGACCCCGUGAACCUUUACUAUAGCUUGACACUGAACAUUGAGCCUUGAUGUGUAGGAUAGGUGGGAGGCUUUGAAGCGUGGACGCCAGUCUGCGUGGAGCCAACCUUGAAAUACCACCCUUUAAUGUUUGAUGUUCUAACGUUGGCCCCUAAUCGGGGUUGCGGACAGUGUCUGGUGGGUAGUUUGACUGGGGCGGUCUCCUCCCAAAGAGUAACGGAGGAGCACGAAGGUUAGCUAAUCCUGGUCGGACAUCAGGAGGUUAGUGCAAUGGCAUAAGCUAGCUUGACUGCGAGCGUGACGGCGCGAGCAGGUGCGAAAGCAGGUCAUAGUGAUCCGGUGGUUCUGAAUGGAAGGGCCAUCGCUCAACGGAUAAAAGGUACUCCGGGGAUAACAGGCUGAUACCGCCCAAGAGUUCAUAUCGACGGCGGUGUUUGGCACCUCGAUGUCGGCUCAUCACAUCCUGGGGCUGAAGUAGGUCCCAAGGGUAUGGCUGUUCGCCAUUUAAAGUGGUACGCGAGCUGGGUUUAGAACGUCGUGAGACAGUUCGGUCCCUAUCUGCCGUGGGCGCUGGAGAAUUGAGGGGGGCUGCUCCUAGUACGAGAGGACCGGAGUGGACGCAUCACUGGUGUUCGGGUUGUCAUGCCAAUGGCAUUGCCCGGUAGCUAAAUGCGGAAGAGAUAAGUGCUGAAAGCAUCUAAGCACGAAACUUGCCCCGAGAUGAGUUCUCCCUGAGACUUUAAGUCUCCUGAAGGAACGUUAAAGACGAUGACGUUGAUAGGUCGGGUGUGUAAGCGUAGCGAUACGUUGAGCUAACCGAUACUAAUGAACCGUGAGGCUUAACCUUACAACGCCGAAGGUGUUU
RNAcentral lists this ribosomal RNA (2933 nucleotides) under Klebsiella aerogenes. Its description in RNAcentral is "bacterial LSU rRNA". It matches the Rfam family "Bacterial large subunit ribosomal RNA". The record is from RNAcentral. Lineage: Bacteria; Pseudomonadati; Pseudomonadota; Gammaproteobacteria; Enterobacterales; Enterobacteriaceae.